UAACUCUUAAGAGUAUUUAUGGUCUCCAAGGGUAACCACGAGGAUAUCUUUGAUCCCAAAAUGUAAUGGAAGAUGUAAGUGGUCUAUUUUGCAUAGUUCAGGGGCAAUUUAACCCUUUUCCCUUAUUUUUUUUACUAUUCAAAAAAUGUAUACUGAACCCAAGAAAGGUUGCCUACGUAUCUCAUUAAAAUGAGAAUCAGGUACGCGUAGUUCAUUCAAAUAUGACAUAAAACAUUUAAAAAUUUAGACAAACUCGGAGCGAAUCCUUGUGUCCUCUUAACUGUCGACCUUUGUAGUUUCUGUUGAAUGUGGUCUAUUAUUUUUUUUAUAUUAACCACAUGUUGUUGUAGUCUUUUUGAAAUGUCUCUUGGAACUGUGUCUUCUACUAAUUAUUUACGAAAAUUACGCAUUGUUAUUACCAUCCCCAACUAUUAUCUGGGACGAUUUUCCUACAAAAAUAUAAGAAAUUGUGAAAGUUAGGCCAUAAUAAUAAUAAAAAAUAAAUAAAAUAAAGAAAUGUAACUUCAUAGUCAGGACUCCCCUAAUUUGUCUCUUUGACUUGAGAUUAAUGUCUUAUUAAAUACGAAGACUCAAUUUCGUGAAUCCUUUUGUCUUACGCAACUUCAGACAAACAAUUACUUCUAGAUUCUUACAUAUAUCAAAAACUCAAAAGGUAAAAGUGUUAAUUUUUGUUCAUAAUGAAUAAUGCAAAACAUCAUACAAAGAAUCAAUAAAAAAAUAUUAUUUUGAUUGAAGACAAACUCAAUUAUAUACAUCACAUAAUAUACAAGCAAUUAUUGCACUAUACAAAUGUGACCCUUUUAUGCUAAGGGCAGACCUAUCAAUUUAAAUGAUGUAUUACGAUAUUUGACAACUAACAAUUGUCCCCCAAAAAACUUAGUACAAUUCUAUGAAUAAUUCAAAUAGAAUUACAAAAUAAGGGGAAAAAAUACAAAUAAUCAGUCCCACACAUGUGAACAAUCAUAAACUAGGCCUUUUGUGGAAAAUAUUUCCUCUUUAACUUAUUAUUAUCUCUAAUGCUAACACCUUUGGAUAAAAUGAUAACUUGAUCCCUCUUCGACUCGAUUAAACUAUUAAGUUCCCUACCCCGAGUGACAAUGAUUUGCCAAAUAUCGUAUACAUCCUUCAAAUUUAAACACAUACGUAUGAUUUGUCUUUUAUUGAUCAAUAGCUCAAAUAGACACAAGGUGGACCUCCAAUGGGCCAACACGCCUUGGGUGUUGGGUCAACUAAAUUCAAAAUGCUCUAAAUUCGGGAUUUGGUUUAAUUCUACCCUAGUUAACUUGGAGUGACUUUUGAAAGGAAACCCAAGUAAACAACGAAAGCUGAAAUUUACGACAACCAUUGGACGCAUAAUGAACCAAUAAAUUGUCGAUCAUUCCGAAAAAGAUUGAGUAUAAAAAAGUUCAAUCGCGAUUCCGUAAAACCAUCCUUUAAUAUAUUAUACAUACGAUAGAAAUAUGCCAUGAAGUGCAAUGAACGUAUACAUACAAUAAAAUGAAUAAUAAAUGAACAACAAGUAUAAUAUACAAAUAAUCAACAAAAUAUACAAAAUAUAAGGUAUAACACAAUAAAUUAAAAUACUCCUCAAUUUGAAAAUAAUGAAUUAAUAUUGGUUAGAACCUCCAUAUCCCAGUGGAGUCGCCAUUCUGUUUACAUCCCUACUUUAUUCAAAUAUGGAGAAAUAUUGUGGUGACUCAAAAAAUAAUAAAUUAAUUAAAUUUUAAAAGAAUUUAAAGCAUAAACGAAUUUUAAAAAGUGUCACCACCUAAUUUUAGGAAAAAAAACAAGGAAAUCAAUUAAAGUGACCUACGAAAUCGGAAAAUUCUAGGUAAUGGGUUCAACUUAUUUCGAAGAGAAGAUGUUAGGCAUCUUUCGCAAUCCAAAAUAUAGGUCCCGACUAAAUUCUUUUUUUUUCCAAAUUGAUGAGGAAAUUAAACAAAUAUAAUAAACGCACAAUAUGCACAAAUAAUAAAAUAAAAUAAUAAUAAAAAAUAUCCUAAUUUUUUCUAACGUCAAUAAUAUACACAAUAAUAAAUAUAAAAAAUAUGAUUCAAAUUCCAUUGAAAUAGCUUCAAUUGAAAGCAACACCGGCGUACCAGUAAACACAUUUAGUAAAAGUGUUAGCAAUAAAUAAAUAUAAAUAAAUAAAAAUAAAAUACGUCUUAUUAACAUGGAAAGUCUUGAUGAUUGACGGUAAUUUCUUCAUUCGGCAGAUUUUAACAUAUUGUAUUUCCUAAACGCAAGAUCAUAUCAAACAAAAUGCAUAUUAAUUUUAAACGAUGUGAAAUAACAAUGAAACAACAAAGAAAUAUUAAAGAGAUAGUUUGCUGGAAAAACUUUACAAAAUAUGUAGACUUAAUCUAAACCAUUUAAGAAUAGUAAUUUAUUAAUAAAAUUGAAUUCAUAAACAAUAAAUGAAAUAAACGAAGAAUUUAUAGUCAUCAUAGAACCCAAAACAACUAAAUAAACAAACAAAAAAAUAAAUGACAUUUGAUGGAGUUCACUGAAUGUGACAUUCUUUCGGCCAGAUCUAAAAUAAUACUAAUGACAAUAAGCCAUUCUACAACAAAUAAUAAGAAAUCAAAAAUAAUCAUAGUCUAAAAUGCAGCCCAACAAUACAAAAGAAAGAAGAAAAUAAUUUAUCAAGCUUUAAACUAUUUAACAGUAAAUUUAUUAAAAAGAAAAAUGGAAAAGAGAGUACAGUACACUGUUUAUGGUGUCAUGGUGGUUUGGAGCUUUCUGUUCGUUGGGUUUGCUGGAAAUGUGAACCCGAAUAGAUCUGGUCGUCCUCACAGUGGUCAUCACUUGUUAUUUCUCCGUCGGAAGAAGGUGGGGAAUGGGGGUGUUGGGCAAGAUCUGGGAGGUGUUUGGGUGAUUUUGUUGGUUGUUUCAGCUACUUGUUUGAUGAUUGUUUCAGCUGGUGUUUUGUCGCAGCCACAAGGAAAGAGGAAAAACAAUAGCUUGAGUGUUCUGGGUGGUUUGAUUAGCUGUUUGGGGUUGGGUAUUUCGCCGGAAACGGCGGAAAUGAAAGUGGUUGUUGUGGGUUGAGCGAUGGUUGUGUGAGUUAGUUUCUGCUCAUCUUUGGCUGGUGGUUUUGGUGUUCAAAGAGAGGAGAAGAUGAAACAAAAGGGUUGAUGGUUUAUCUUUGGCGGUGACAGACUGAUCGAAAAAAGAAAAGAGAUGACAAUGGGGUUUUGGCAGUGGUUGAUGUUCAUUGGUAAGAAGCAAUGAGGUUGUGAGUUGUUUGCAAAGAAGUGAAAGGGUUUUGGUUGGUGGUAGUUUUCCAGAUUCACGCAUACUCAUCGGAAAAAAAAGAAACUUUUUUAUUCUUAAAAUAUGAAAAUUCACCCUCAAAACCUAAUAUUUGCCCCCCACCAUUUUUGACGUAAUAGAGCUCUAAAUAGAGUAUUGUUAUACAAUGGGCCUAAAUCAUGAACUCAACAUUUAGACCGAAAUAUUAUGGAAUAAUUACUAGAAUAUACACCUUUAGUUUAUAUAUUCACCAUAUUUCCCUACUAUUUUAAAAAGAUACAAAAAUCCCUAUUUCUCCCCAAAUCAAAAACUACCGAUACAUUAUUUUUUAGAAUUCCAAACCAUUACAUUUCACCCCUAAAUUUACUCCUCUAUUUACU
Molecule: long non-coding RNA, 3656 nt
Filed under: Solanum lycopersicum (tomato)
Lineage: Eukaryota; Viridiplantae; Streptophyta; Magnoliopsida; Solanales; Solanaceae
Description: long non-coding RNA (SLYC_LNC000680)
Source: RNAcentral